This is a long non-coding RNA of Chelonoidis abingdonii (Abingdon island giant tortoise), 987 nucleotides long. RefSeq lists it as uncharacterized. The record is from RefSeq and is a predicted model, not a curated record. Lineage: Eukaryota; Metazoa; Chordata; Testudines; Testudinidae.
UGCACUGCAGUGUUGGCAAAACGUGGUUUUUCUACUUGUAGAAAUUUGCUUGCAAUGGUACUGUGAUUGAACACCCAGAAUAUGGAGAAGUGAUUCAGCUGCAAGGUGACCAGCGCAAGAACAUAUGCCAGUUCCUCAUCGAGAUUGGUCUGGCUAAAGAUGACCAGCUGAAGGUCCAUGGGUUUUAAGUGCCUGUGGAUCUCUGACGCAUUAAGUGAGGACUGCCUUGUGAUGAGUAAAAUCCCAUUCUGUCCCUUGUCAUAAGUUUAAAGCCAGCUGGAUUGUGUAAUGUAACCAUCUGAAGUCCGCUGUCUAGUCUGGACUAGUGUAACUCGGCGAUGUAAUAAACUGGCCAGAGCCAUGCUGUCUCGUCUUGCUGUCCCUCAUUUAAACCGAGGUAGAUCUGGCAGUGUCCAGCCUGAGGCUAAAAAUAACAAGUUUGUGUUAAGUCCAGGGACUCAACAUGUCUGUCCAGAGACUGUCUGAAUAUCUCUUCAGUCCAGCGUCCUUAGCAUUUAAAUGGACUUCAGUAAUUGAGGUGCCGGUUGUGGUCCUAAAUGGCAGGAGGCACCAAACAUGAGCUGUGACACUGAAUGGGGAAGUAGCAUCCUGUAGGCAGGGGUGGCUUCUGAAGGUGUCACGGUCUGGGCGCAAACUGACCGACCAAGAAGAGCAACUGAAGAAAUCUGCCUUAGGUGAUACCUGGAAGAAGGGCUUCUCCAAGGCUGAAUGUCUCAACCUCGGGCCAAGUGAGCUGUUGGUAUCAUUAAACCCAAAGCUACGGGAGUAGAGUGCUCAAAGGAAACAUUACCUUGGGUUAAACUUUUGACAAGGGAUCAAUUUUGGAUCAUUGUAGAUAGAGCUGCAGAGCUUACAUGUUACUAGUAACUGCUGCCCAAUGCCCUGUGAAGCAACAGAUUUGUUUCAGUUUUAAUGUUGUAUGUAAUGUAUUUAAACCCUUAUUUAAAUAAAAAUGGUUUUCAAAAA